Callithrix jacchus (white-tufted-ear marmoset) is the source of this 110-nucleotide small nuclear RNA. NCBI's taxonomy places the organism in Eukaryota, Metazoa, Chordata, Mammalia, Primates, Cebidae. The record is from Ensembl.
GUGCUCGCUUCGGCAGCACAUAUACUAAAAUUGGAACGAUACAGAGAAGAUUAGCACGGCCCCUGCUCAGGGAUGACUUCUUUUAAUUGCUUUAAAUAAAAUACAUGAAU